AGCAGCCGCGGUAAUUCCAGCUCCAAUAGCGUAUAUUAAAGUUGUUGCAGUUAAAAAGCUCGUAGUUGAAUUUCGGGAUCAAUUUGCUGGUCGUGCCUUCGGUACGCACUGGUAUUAUUGGUUUCUCCUUUCUGAUGAAUCGCGAUGUCAUUAAUUUGGUGUCGUGGGGAAUCAGGACCGUUACUUUGAAAAAAUUAGAGUGUUUAAAGCAGGCUCACGCUUGAAUACAUUAGCAUGGAAUAAUGAAAUAGGACGUUUGAUUCUAUUUUGUUGGUUUCUAGGAUCGACGUAAUGAUUAAUAGGGAUAGUUGGGGGCAUUAGUAUUCAAUUGUCAGAGGUGAAAUUCUUGGAUUUAUUGAAGACUAACUACUGCGAAAGCAUUUGCCAAGGAUGUUUUCAUUAAUCAAGAACGAAAGUUAGGGGAUCGAAGACGAUCAGAUACCGUCGUAGUCUUAACCAUAAACUAUGCCGACUAGGGAUCGGAUGAUGUUAAUUUUUAAUGA
RNAcentral lists this ribosomal RNA (503 nucleotides) under uncultured Glomus. Its description in RNAcentral is "SSU rRNA". It matches the Rfam family "Eukaryotic small subunit ribosomal RNA", at positions 569 to 1074 of the family's 1831-position model. The record is from RNAcentral. Lineage: Eukaryota; Fungi; Glomeromycota; Glomeromycetes; Glomerales; Glomeraceae.